RNAcentral lists this long non-coding RNA (1277 nucleotides) under Callithrix jacchus (white-tufted-ear marmoset). RNAcentral describes it as "lncRNA (ENSCJAG00000077102.1)". The record is from RNAcentral. Lineage: Eukaryota; Metazoa; Chordata; Mammalia; Primates; Cebidae.
CAGGGUGCAGUCUCUGGGGUUGGCCGUCAUCACCCCUUAAAUGCCCUGUUGCUGGUCCUGCCUACUCCUCUUUGCCCCAUUCACAUCAGUGCCCACAUUUUCCUGUCUCCCAUAGUGUUCUGAUGUGGCCCCUCUGUCACAUCAGUGUCCCCCCAGGUCUGCUCUUCACUUUCCCCCUGUCCUACAUUUCCUCCUCCUCCUGUUCCCUCCCCUAUAAAACAUGGGGGGACAAGGCCCCAGAGCUUCGAGGUCUAGGGAAGCAGCAGAGACUAAUAUAACAGACAAAUUCUAAGGUGUUGCAUUAGUUUCUCAGGGCUGCCGUAACAUGUUACCAGACUCUCAGUCUUCAACAGAAAUGUGACUCUCACAAUGUGGAAGGCAGCAGUCCGACACAGAGAGGUUGGCAGGGGCUGAGACUCCGAAGGUUCAAGGGAAGGAUUUUUUCUUGCCUAUUCCAGCUUCUGCUGGCUCCAGGCACUCCCUGGGUUGUGCUUGCAUCCCUCCAAUCUCUGCCUCCAGCUUCACAAGACCUUCACUCUGUGCAUGUAUUUUCCUCUUUUCUCACUUACAAGAGCACUUGUCAGACAUUUUUCGCAGGUUUUGGGGAGAGGAUGUGGACGUCUUUUGAGAGGAGCUGUGAUUCAAUCCACUACAAGGUUAAAGGGAUAAUAGCCCAGCUUUUCAAAAGCAUUUUGCUCUGCAAUCAAAUCAAAUAUUCUUAAACGGACGGGGCCAAGUCAACCCAGUCCAGGCAAAGAGACUCCCAAAAGAUUGCCAAAAGCCUGGUGCCAGUUCUGACAGAUGGACAAAGGUAAGCUGUGUUUACUGUCCUCCUCAACUGUGUUCUUCUCUCAAAGCCAUCCUUGUGCUGAGAUGUUAAAAACAAAACACCCCUCACCAUGCCCUGGUUUCUGUGUAAACUGGCUCAAUGAAGGUGUUUUCUACAGGGGUCUGCAAUACACUACUCAGGGACAACUGGGCAAUUGAGCCAGGUACAGCCAGGUACCUGGCUCACCGAGUUUUUCCGUGGUAGUUCCACGGAAAAGCCAAGCUGGCUCUGGCCUUCUUGUUUUACAGACUUGGGUUUUGUUUGAAGCCGUCUCUAUAAAUGGACCGUAGAACCUGCUACUCUGUGCUUCAUUCCUUUCUUUGUUUUCUUCUAUUAAUGACAGCCCUGGGACCAAGAAGACCCAAAUGCUCUUGGUGGCCCUGCUUGGCCAGCACACACUGUCCUCCCACCACCUGCCCACGGAGGGGAUCCCCGUUGUUUUGCUUCC